AGCCCAAAGUGCAAGGCCGUGUAUUCUCUUCUUCGAUGAGUUUGACAGUCUUGCACCAAGACGUGGUCAUGACACUUCUGGUGUCUCUGAUAGAGUUGUAAAUCAAUUAUUGACCGAAUUAGACGGUUGUGAAGCCCGAGAUGUAACUGGUGGUGUUUUUAUAUUAGCUGCUACGAGUCGACCUGAUCUUAUAGAUCCUGCAUUAUUAAGACCAGGACGAUUAGAUCCACAAUUUUUAUGUCCAAUUCCGGACACUGAUGGAAGAUUUGAUAUUUUGAAAUCUUUGACCAC
This is a long non-coding RNA of Ctenocephalides felis (cat flea), 291 nucleotides long. RefSeq lists it as uncharacterized. NCBI's taxonomy places the organism in Eukaryota, Metazoa, Arthropoda, Insecta, Siphonaptera, Pulicidae. The record is from RefSeq and is a predicted model, not a curated record. The transcript has 3 exons.